RNAcentral lists this unclassified non-coding RNA (207 nucleotides) under Hevea brasiliensis (rubber tree). The record is from RNAcentral. Lineage: Eukaryota; Viridiplantae; Streptophyta; Magnoliopsida; Malpighiales; Euphorbiaceae.
GUACAGUGAAGUACAAAGGCAUUCUCAUCCUUGAAAGAAUUAAACAAGGAUUUGUGACCGAGCAGCACCGCGGGAGCACUUCUUCCUGCCUGACUUGCUAAGUGCACAAACGCAUAUCUCAAGUAGCUCGUAAUCCUCUUCCCAGAACAAGGAUGAUGCAAGCUCUGGAUUCUCAACCAGCAUUUUUGAUGUCAGGAACCCAGCAAU